GUAGGUGGCAAGCGUUGUCCGGAAUUAUUGGGCGUAAAGCGCGCGCAGGCGGUUCUUUAAGUCUGAUGUGAAAGCCCACGGCUCAACCGUGGAGGGUCAUUGGAAACUGGAGAACUUGAGUACAGAAGAGGAAAGCGGAAUUCCACGUGUAGCGGUGAAAUGCGUAGAGAUGUGGAGGAACACCAGUGGCGAAGGCGGCUUUCUGGUCUGUAACUGACGCUGAGGCGCGAAAGCGUGGGGAGCAAACAGGAUUAGAUACCCUGGUAGUCCACGCCGUAAACGAUGAGUGCUAAGUGUCAGGGGGUUUUCCGCCCCUUAGUGCUGCAGCUAACGCAUUAAGCACUCCGCCUGGGAGUACGGCCGCAAGGCUG
This 371-nucleotide ribosomal RNA is filed under the name uncultured organism. Its description in RNAcentral is "partial 16S ribosomal RNA". It matches the Rfam family "Bacterial small subunit ribosomal RNA", at positions 527 to 896 of the family's 1533-position model. The record is from RNAcentral.